UCCCGUUGCCCUUCUUGGGCGUUUCCUCCCUAGACUUCGGGCCGCUCCCUCACCGGGGCGGCCUUUUUUGUCUCAGGU
Molecule: non-coding RNA, 78 nt
Organism: Methylobacterium sp. Leaf456
Lineage: Bacteria; Pseudomonadati; Pseudomonadota; Alphaproteobacteria; Hyphomicrobiales; Methylobacteriaceae
Source: Rfam